UACGUAGGGUCCGAGCGUUGUCCGGAAUUACUGGGCGUAAAGGGCGCGUAGGCGGUGAAGUCAGUCGGGUGUGAAAGCCCCGGGCUCAACCUGGGAACGGCAUCCGAUACUGCUUCGCUAGAGUAUGGUAGAGGGAAGCGGAAUUCCGGGUGUAGCGGUGAAAUGCGUAGAUAUCCGGAGGAACACCAGUGGCGAAGGCGGCUUCCUGGACCAAUACUGACGCUGAGGCGCGAAAGCGUGGGGAUCAAACAGGAUUAGAUACCCCUGUAGU
Molecule: ribosomal RNA, 271 nt
Filed under: uncultured bacterium
Lineage: Bacteria
Description: partial 16S ribosomal RNA
Rfam family: Bacterial small subunit ribosomal RNA
Source: RNAcentral